AACGCACCUUGCGCCCUUUGGUAUUCCGAAGGGCAUGCCUGUUUGAGUGUCAUUAUAUUCUCAACCUUGCAAAGCUUGCUUUGUUAGGCUUGGAUGUGAGGGCUUUGCUGGCUUCCAUUGAGUUGGAUGGUCUGCUCCCUUCAAAUUUAUUAGUGGGAUCCUUUGUGGAUGGUCACUUGGUGUGAUAAUUAUCUACGCCGCCUGACUGUGAAGCAAAACUUGUGGGGACCUGCUUAUAACUGUCUCUUUGGGGACUAUCUUUGACUAUUUGACCUCAAGUCAGGUAGGACUACCCGCUGAACUUAA
RNAcentral lists this unclassified non-coding RNA (306 nucleotides) under uncultured fungus. RNAcentral's name for it is "sequence contains ITS2". The stretch from base 1 to 52 matches the Rfam family "5.8S ribosomal RNA", at positions 103 to 154 of the family's 154-position model. The record is from RNAcentral. Lineage: Eukaryota; Fungi.